UCAAAACAGAACUUGUAAUUCUAUUGAUAUUCAUCAAUCAAGUUACAUUUAUUGAAAUGUGAUGCUCAAGCACUAAAGCAAAACCGAAGAAAUUUUUACCAAUCCCUAAAAAGCAAUAAGAAUUCCCACACAGGGGAAGGUGCAAUUGAACAUGCCCCUAGCAAACUACUUAGGAUCAUGAAUCAUGUGUGCUUGAGUUCUUCACCCUCCUUGAUCUUGUGAUGCAAAUCCUCUAGGUCAGAGAUUAUUCCUUAUAGAUAUAUCACUAGUCUCUUCAUAGUGGCAUCAAAUUCAGCUACCUCAGGAAAAUAGGACGGUUCGAAAGUCCUCUUGGUUCUCUUCUUUGAGUCAUAGUUUCCUACUGAAGAUAGAGUACCUAUAUCAUCACGGCCCUUUUGCUUGAUGAGAAAAGCCACAGUAGCAUACAAUUCAUCGACUUGACUUUGGAGGUACGAAAUUCGUUUGUUUAUAUUGACAAUGAUACGGUCUAGCACCUCAUUUUGAUCCGCUAUUUUAGCCAUCGGCCGUGUACGGAUGGGUGAGCGAGAUCGUUCCAUAUUCACCUAAUUCAAAUAAACGGGAACAUGUAAGCAUGAGGGUAAAUAGAAAGUCGAUCCAUGACAAUGAUCUAAUCAAUUUUUCCAUUUUUUUUCAUUUAUUCAUGAAAAGUUCUUCCAAGAAGGGCAUUUCCUAAAAAUGGACUAGGAAAAUAAAGAUAGACACCCUAACAAGACCAAAU
This 739-nucleotide long non-coding RNA is filed under the name Eucalyptus grandis. RNAcentral describes it as "long non-coding RNA (EGRA_LNC006479)". The record is from RNAcentral. Lineage: Eukaryota; Viridiplantae; Streptophyta; Magnoliopsida; Myrtales; Myrtaceae.